Molecule: unclassified non-coding RNA, 520 nt
Filed under: Pedicularis comptoniifolia
Lineage: Eukaryota; Viridiplantae; Streptophyta; Magnoliopsida; Lamiales; Orobanchaceae
Description: trnH-psbA intergenic spacer
Source: RNAcentral
GCCCUCUAUGAUUUCUAUUUCAUUUAUUUUGAAUUAACAUAUCACAAAAUUUUCUAUUUAAAAUCAUCUAUUAAGAAUUAAUAUUUUAUUAAUUUUAUUUUGGGACAUUUCAUUACGAUUUUAAUAUAAAAAAUGAACAAAUAUCUUCUUUCUUUCUGAGAUAUUUGUUUCUUCAAAAAAAAGAUUAAUCAAUGAUUAAUCAAUAUCAAUUUAAUCAAUCAAAAUAGAAUUGGCAAAACUUGCCAACCUUUUGACAAAAAAUAAGAUAAAUGACAAUCAAAAAAAUUCUACAAAACAAAAGAAUAAUACUCAAUUUAGUAAUAAAUCCUUAAGAAAAAUAUAUAUAUUGUUUUUUAUGUAAUAGACCGAAAAAAUCUAGGCAAGUACAAUACUACUUAUUGAAUCAUUGAAAAGAAAAUAAAGGAGCAAAAGCCCUUCUUGGUAAACCAAGAAAGAGUUUAUUGCUCCUUAUAUUAUUCUAUUUUCAAAACCUCCUAUACACUAAGACCAAGUCUUAUCC